AUUGAACGCUGGCGGCAGGCCUAACACAUGCAAGUCGAACGAGUGGCGGACGGGUGAGUAAUGUCUGGGAAACUGCCCGAUGGAGGGGGAUAACUACUGGAAACGGUAGCUAAUACCGCAUACCAUCGGAUGUGCCCAGAUGGGAUUAGCUUGUAGGGGAGGUAACGGCUAACCUAGGCGACGAUCCCUAGCGGGUCUGAGAGGAGGACCAGCCACACUGGGACUGAGACACGGUCCAGACUCCUACGGGAGGCAGCAGUGGGGAAUAUUGCGCAAUGGGCGCAAGCCUGACGCAGCAAUGCCGCGUGUAUGAAGAAGGCCUUCGGGUUGUAAAGUACUUUCGUCAGGGAGGCGUUACCCGCAGAAGAAGCACCGGCUAACUACGUGCCAGCAGCCGCGGUAAUAC
RNAcentral lists this ribosomal RNA (406 nucleotides) under uncultured bacterium. Its description in RNAcentral is "partial 16S ribosomal RNA". It matches the Rfam family "Bacterial small subunit ribosomal RNA", at positions 30 to 526 of the family's 1533-position model. The record is from RNAcentral.